Toxotes jaculatrix (banded archerfish) is the source of this 245-nucleotide long non-coding RNA. RefSeq lists it as uncharacterized. The record is from RefSeq and is a predicted model, not a curated record. NCBI's taxonomy places the organism in Eukaryota, Metazoa, Chordata, Actinopteri, Toxotidae. The transcript has 3 exons.
AGAAGACGACGAUGUCAUAUUUCUUGUUGAUGCGCUCUUGGAUGAUUGUGAGCAGGCAGCAGGAGUAGCCAGCAGAUCAAAAACAGGGGCUGAACAGGUGAUUUGGCUUGAGGAGGACCAGGAAGGGCAACCUCUUCCAAAAAGAAGUCGAUCAGGAGAGAAUCGGAAAUGCGGUUCAACUGGAGUGAAACAGAAGCGAGGUUCAACCACUGUUUCCUCCAGAAGCAUAGACCCAUGUGCUUCAU